GAUUGCGAGCCACGCUUCACGCAACCGUGUUUGCGUACUUGUGUUUCAAGUUGCGUGGUCGUACGGAGUUAUAUUUACCAAAUUUAAAUAUAAUCGUUUUCAAAAUUAAAUCAAUAUGUCAAUAUGGCUACUGGGUGUAAAAGAUAAAUCUUAUUCUAUCUGUUCUUAAUGAGUUUUAGAUAAUUUUAGUUGUAUUUCUUUGUAAUUUUGUGUUGUACAAAGAUUAAUUUAACAUUUUCUCUGGAAGUAUUAAUUUAGAAAGAUAAUAUGCUUCAUUGGUGUUGUGUUUUGAAGUGUGAAAUGUGAUAAAGUCAAGAUAAAGUUCACUUUUAAACUGAACUAAAUAAGGUAUCUGAGAGACAACAAUGGUUAAAUGCAAUACAAUGUACAGGUUUUACUAGCGAAAUGAAAAUUUUCCUGUCCUGUCUGCUGUAAUCAUUUUAUAUCUGGAAAACCAGCCGACUUAAUAGAUAAUAACAAUCUCCAGAUUGGGUUCCUUCAAUAAAUAUGGUCUAUAAACACAAUGAAAUAAGUUCCCCAAAAUCUAAAAUGGAGUGGUAUCAAAGGAGAAUUAAAGGGAAAAAUAUUCAUAUUGAAAUUAUUUAUAAGGCACUGGACUGUCUUAAAUUCUACAAUAAUACUAGAAUCAGCUGAGAGAAGUGGUCUACAAAAAAACCAGGAAGGAAACGGAAUAUGUGGCUACGAAAGGCAAAAGAAAGGUUUACAAAGCAAAUGUGACACAUUUUUUUGAAAUAUUUAGGAAUAUCAGUAAAUUGCAUUAAAAAAAUGUAUGAAAAGAUUUUGUUCAAUAAAAAUGUUUAUAUUUA
This is a long non-coding RNA of Diabrotica virgifera virgifera (western corn rootworm), 827 nucleotides long. RefSeq lists it as uncharacterized. The record is from RefSeq and is a predicted model, not a curated record. The transcript has 3 exons. NCBI's taxonomy places the organism in Eukaryota, Metazoa, Arthropoda, Insecta, Coleoptera, Chrysomelidae.